CAGUCGCCGCGGGAAUACAGAGGGUGCGAGCGUUAAUCGGAUUUACUGGGCGUAAAGCGUGAGUAGGCGGCUUCUUAAGUCGGAUGUGAAAUCCCUGAGCUUAACUUAGGAAUUGCAUUCGAUACUGGGAAGCUAGAGUAUGGGAGAGGAUGGUAGAAUUCCAGGUGUAGCGGUGAAAUGCGUAGAGAUCUGGAGGAAUACCGAUGGCGAAGGCAGCCAUCUGGCCUAAUACUGACGCUGAGGUACGAAAGCAUGGGGAGCAAACAGGAUUAGAUACCCCAGUAGUCCCUGUCUCUUAUAC
RNAcentral lists this ribosomal RNA (301 nucleotides) under uncultured bacterium. RNAcentral's name for it is "partial 16S ribosomal RNA". It matches the Rfam family "Bacterial small subunit ribosomal RNA", at positions 509 to 807 of the family's 1533-position model. The record is from RNAcentral.